GCCCAGAGUCUUAAUCAAUGGCAGCAUCAGGAGAACGGUCUGGAAAGUCCGGCAGUAAAGGGUGAUAGCCCCGUAUCCGAAGAUGCUGUUAUUGUGAACUCGACGAGUAGGGCGGGACACGUGUUAUCCUGUCUGAAUAUGGGGGGACCAUCCUCUAAGGCUAAAUACUCCUGAUUGACCGAUAGUGAACCAGUACCGUGAGGGAAAGGCGAAAAGAACCCCGGCGAGGGGAGUGAAAAAGAACCUGAAACCGUGUACGUACAAGCAGUAGGAGCCUCUUUAUGGGGUGACUGCGUACCUUUUGUAUAAUGGGUCAGCGACUUAUAUUCUGUAGCAAGGUUAACCGUAUAGGGGAGCCGUAGGGAAACCGAGUCUUAACUGGGCGAAUGAGUUGCAGGGUAUAGACCCGAAACCCGGUGAUCUAUCCAUGGGCA
RNAcentral lists this ribosomal RNA (434 nucleotides) under Vibrio parahaemolyticus. Its description in RNAcentral is "partial 23S ribosomal RNA". It matches the Rfam family "Bacterial large subunit ribosomal RNA", at positions 296 to 742 of the family's 2925-position model. The record is from RNAcentral. Lineage: Bacteria; Pseudomonadati; Pseudomonadota; Gammaproteobacteria; Vibrionales; Vibrionaceae.